AGUGAACGCUGGCGGUAGGCCUAACACAUGCAAGUCGAACGGCAGCACAGUAAGAGCUUGCUCUUACGGGUGGCGAGUGGCGGACGGGUGAGGAAUACAUCGGAAUCUACUUUUUCGUGGGGGAUAACGUAGGGAAACUUACGCUAAUACCGCAUACGACCUACGGGUGAAAGCAGGGGAUCUUCGGACCUUGCGCGAUUGAAUGAGCCGAUGUCGGAGUAGCUAGUUGGCGGGGUAAAGGCCCACCAAGGCGACGAUCCGUAGCUGGUCUGAGAGGAUGAUCAGCCACACUGGAACUGAGACACGGUCCAGACUCCUACGGGAGGCAGCAGUGGGGAAUAUUGGACAAUGGGCGCAAGCCUGAUCCAGCCAUACCGCGUGGGUGAAGAAGGCCUUCGAGUUGUAAAGCCCUUUUGUUGGGAAAGAAAAGCAGCAGGUUAAUACCCCGCUGUUCUGACGGUACCCAAAGAAUAAGCACCGGCUAACUUCGUG
This 492-nucleotide ribosomal RNA is filed under the name uncultured bacterium. RNAcentral describes it as "partial 16S ribosomal RNA". It matches the Rfam family "Bacterial small subunit ribosomal RNA", at positions 29 to 507 of the family's 1533-position model. The record is from RNAcentral.